Molecule: ribosomal RNA, 392 nt
Filed under: uncultured bacterium
Lineage: Bacteria
Description: bacterial SSU rRNA
Rfam family: Bacterial small subunit ribosomal RNA
Source: RNAcentral
AUUAAACGCUGGCGGCAUGCCUUACACAUGCAAGUCGAACGGCAGCACGGGGCAACCUGGUGGCGAGUGGCGAACGGGUGAGUAAAGCAUCGGAACGUGCCCUGGAGUGGGGGAUAACGUAGCGAAAGUUACGCUAAUACCGCAUAUUCUGUGAGCAGGAAAGCAGGGGAUCGCAAGACCUUGCGCUCUGGGAGCGGCCGAUGUCGGAUUAGCUAGUUGGUGAGGUAAAGGCUCACCAAGGCGACGAUCCGUAGCUGGUCUGAGAGGACGACCAGCCACACUGGAACUGAGACACGGUCCAGACUCCUACGGGAGGCAGCAGUGGGGAAUUUUGGACAAUGGGCGCAAGCCUGAUCCAGCCAUUCCGCGUGAGUGAAGAAGGCCUCGGUUGU